RNAcentral lists this ribosomal RNA (405 nucleotides) under uncultured bacterium. RNAcentral's name for it is "partial 16S ribosomal RNA". It matches the Rfam family "Bacterial small subunit ribosomal RNA", at positions 30 to 526 of the family's 1533-position model. The record is from RNAcentral.
AUUGAACGCUGGCGGCAGGCUUAACACAUGCAAGUCGAACGAGUGGCGGACGGGUGAGUAAUGCUUGGGAAUCUAGCUUAUGGAGGGGGAUAACUACGGGAAACUGUAGCUAAUACCGCGUACCCUGGGAUGAGCCGAAGUGGGAUGAGGGAGUUGGUGAGGUAAAGGCACACCAAGGCGACGAACUCUAUAUGGUCUGAUAGGAUGACCAGCCACACUGGGACUGAGACACGGCCCAGAUGCCUACGGGAGGCAGCAGGGGGGAAUAUUUCGCAAUGGGGGCAACCUGACGCAGCCAUGCCGCGUGAAUGAAGAAGGCCUUCGGGUUGUAAAGUUCUUUCUGUAGCGAGGCGUUAACUACAGAAGAAGCACCGGCUAACUCCGUGCCAGCAGCCGCGGUAAUAC